UGAGGAAUAUUGGACAAUGGGCGCAAGCCUGAUCCAGCCAUGCCGCGUGCAGGAUGACGGUCCUAUGGAUUGUAAACUGCUUUUGUACAGGAAGAAACAGUUCUACGUGUAGAACCUUGACGGUACUGUAAGAAUAAGGAUCGGCUAACUCCGUGCCAGCAGCCGCGGUAAUACGGAGGAUCCAAGCGUUAUCCGGAAUCAUUGGGUUUAAAGGGUCCGUAGGCGGUUAGAUAAGUCAGUGGUGAAAGCCCAUCGCUCAACGGUGGAACGGCCAUUGAUACUGUCUGACUUGAAUUAUUAGGAAGUAACUAGAAUAUGUAGUGUAGCGGUGAAAUGCUUAGAGAUUACAUGGAAUACCAAUUGCGAAGGCAGGUUACUACUAAUGGAUUGACGCUGAGACGCGAAAGCGUGGGGAGCAAACAGGAUUAGAUACCCAGGUAGUCCCUGAGCGGGCUGGCAAGGCGCAU
This 467-nucleotide ribosomal RNA is filed under the name uncultured bacterium. RNAcentral's name for it is "bacterial SSU rRNA". It matches the Rfam family "Bacterial small subunit ribosomal RNA", at positions 355 to 825 of the family's 1533-position model. The record is from RNAcentral.